UUGUCUGACAGACAGAAGUGGGACAGGCCCUUUCUGAAACACCAGCUUGGCUAAAAUCUAAAUACUCUGCUUUUCAAAUGACAGGAACAAGUAUGUCACACAAAACUACAUUAUUAAUCUGGAAAAGGAUAUAGGCAGUGAAACAAACUGCACCCUAAAACUGGAAAUGAUUUUUGGUGCUAGAGGGGAUACCAUCUAAAGUGUACCAUGAAUGCGACAUUCUGGGAAGAGACAGCAGAGGGUCACACAUGCUUUCUGUUGCAACUGUUUACCAAAAGAACUUAAAUUAUUUCCAAACUAGAAUUUUACAGCCAGGUGGACUCUUGGAAACAACAGAGGUAAAGUAUACUUCAAACUUCCAAUAUUACUUUAGAAAGGUUGUUUUUUUGUCUGCUGAAGGCCACCUUUUGCCUUUCUCAUAGAAAUAAUCCCAUUGAAGGCAGAUGGCAUUAAUGUGAGUAAGGAUUCACAUUUGGUUUUCACUUUGGCCGUAAUAUGGCCCUAAUCCUGCUCCCAUUGCAGUCAGUGGUAAUGAGCCAGUUUGUUGGUACAGGACAAGGCCAAGUGAGAGUCUGAUACACCCUCAGCUCCCACAUGUAUCCACUUUGCAGGAUCAGAAUUUAAAUAUUUUGAGUUAAUUCUGCACCUGAUCUUGAAGUCCUUCCAUGGCUAAAAUAUACACUGGAGUUGAUAAUACCUUUGCUUGAGAAAGGGCUUCAAGAACAGUUCCUGAUGUUUACCUUGAGGAAUCGCCAAUGCUUCCAGGUACAACCAAUAGUUCAUAAAGAGAUGGAGCACUGGAGAAAAAGGCAAUGCUUACUGAGCACAGGGCGCAUAAACACAUGUCACUAUGGCACCAUUGUUACUGCACUGUCAUUUAGUACUUCCUUUUGGAACUACUAAAAGCCGGCACAGUAACAGCCUGUACUGUGCCAUGUGCAUCGUGCACAGCUAUUUUUAGGCACUACGUCACCGUAGUGACACCCUAUAAUGAGGGAGCACAUCACAACAGCAACAUAGCUGCGGCAUCAUGGUUGUUGGCCAUGGAUGUUACAUUGCCACAGCACGUUGCUGCGGCCACUUAGUGUCACGUGUAGAUGCAACCAAAGUGUAUGAUUUAUUUUACAUAAGAAACACAAUGUUUCACAGAUAUCUCUAACCAAUACUGUGAGAGGAGCAUGUUGCUUAAGCACAAAAUAAAGAUAUAUAAUUUAUCUCUUUCAGAAAUUGUGUGUCAUCUAACUAUUACAUAAUGAAACUUUAAAACUUUAUGUGUUGAACAAGGUCUGCUUUUAUGAACAUUGCAUAAUCUAGUUGAUUUAAUUUGCCUCUGACAAGUAAGCAUUUUUUUAUUUUAUUUUGUAUAAUUAGUAUUCACUUCAGGUACUUCUAAUGAGAUGAAAAUUAAAGUUUCCACGUCUAAUACCUUGUUUUCAUGCUUGCCACGCUUCGGGAAUUUUAGUGAAUAAACAUUGUAUCAAUGGACUGCCAGAAAGUGCUUCCUUAAAGAGGGCCAUGAAAUUAGUUUAAAAAGCUACUGUACAGGCUCCAGUUGAAAUUUGAAAAUAGCAAUCAAAAAGUUUAGAUUAACAUUUAGUCUCAGAACCUUAUUUCAUUCUCCAGGAAAAAGCAAAAUACCCCUUAUAUUGUCAUCUCCUAUAGCAUGCACUUUCUUUUUAAAAUACUAAUUUUAAAUUAUAUGGGCAUAGUCCAUUUUCACUCAUAUUUAGUUUUGGCUACAAAGCAGGGGAAAUAAGUACCACUUUUAUUGAUAUAACCGUCAUACCAAAUCAAGAAAUCAUUGGAAUGUCUUGUGAGUAUUUCACGUAUAGUUUCAUAUAUGUAUUUAUAUGUAUAGUGCAUAGGCAUGUAUAAUGUUUAUGAAUACGCAUGUAUGUACCAAUAAAAAUGAAUUGUUUAAAUACACUAGAGGCAGAAAUAAUGAAGAACAUCCUCCCCACUCCCCAAUUUAUACCUUGGUCUCAGUGAAAUUAAAGGAAUUAUAUUUCCACAAUCUGUAAAACAACUUAAAUAUAUUUUUGUUUAACAGAAAUACCUAAAUAAAUGGUUUUAUCUGACAGUGAAUAAAUCUAAUGACAAAGACAACAGUGAGCAAUUCUCCAAAACUAAUUAUUGCACAUAAUGCAUAGAUUUAAGCUCACACACACUGGGCAUGAGCACAUCGGCCUUUUUCAGGAAAACUUCCUUUUAGAAUUAGGGAAGAUUUGCCACCCUCAAAUCUGAAAUAUUAGAAACACAUUAUUAAUGAUUACAUUUAAAAGUUUUCAAAAAUGCACAGGGUCAUAGUUAAAAGCACGAGGAAACACUCCCCCCACCUUACACCCCAAAAAACAUCCUGUCAAGGGCCUUAAUUGUGCUCCCACUGAAGUCAAGGAAAGUCUUUCUUGGAUUCAAAAGGAGUUGGAUCAGCCCCAGGAUUAUCUGAGAAACAAACCAUGCAAAUGAACGCUCAGUUCACAUGUAGCUAUUUAACAAAGAUCCCGAAGUGAAAAUAUAUGCUAUAAACUUCUGUUCUUCCAGUUCAGUGAAGGGAUGUAGCCAAAUAUUUUCCAUCCCAGACAGAGUGAAACAAUAAUGAAUAAUUUGAGUAGAAUAGUCAUAAUAUGAUUCAUAUGAUUGUUGAAGUAAAUAUAUUGAAAACAUCUCAUCUCUGAGAAAGGGUCUGUGCUCCCUCUCUAGUCUUUAAAGAUUUUUAAAUGUAUAAAUAAAGGAUGUGAAAUUGCAAA
Long non-coding RNA from Alligator mississippiensis (American alligator), 2747 nucleotides. RefSeq lists it as uncharacterized. The record is from RefSeq and is a predicted model, not a curated record. Lineage: Eukaryota; Metazoa; Chordata; Crocodylia; Alligatoridae. The transcript is spliced from 2 exons.